Molecule: ribosomal RNA, 1368 nt
Filed under: Paguristes grayi
Lineage: Eukaryota; Metazoa; Arthropoda; Malacostraca; Decapoda; Diogenidae
Description: SSU rRNA
Rfam family: Eukaryotic small subunit ribosomal RNA
Source: RNAcentral
UUUGGAGGGCAAGUCUGGUGCCAGCAGCCGCGGUAAUUCCAGCUCCAAUAGCGUAUGCCAAAGUUGCUGCGGUUAAAAAGCUCGUAGUUGGACUACAGUUCCGGACUGACGGCUCACCGCCAAGGUGCACUCCGUCAGCUCCGAAGCAGCCCUAGUUUAAAAAACUGGGGCCCCGUCGGCUCGCCCGGGGUGCUCUUCACCGAGUGCCCCGAGUGGCUGGCAUGUUUACUUUGAAAAAAUUAGAGUGCUCAGAGCAGGCUACAUGAAUUGGCCUGAAUGCCUAUGCAUGGAAUAAUGGAAUAGGACCUCGGUUCUAUUUUGUCGGUUUUCCUUUUACUUGGAACCCGAGGUAAUGAUUAAGGGGAACAGUCGGGGACAUUUGUACUGCGACGCUAGAGGUGAAAUUCUUGGAACGUCGCAAGACAAGCUACUGCGAAAGCAUUUGUCAAGGAUGUUUUCGUUAAUCAAGAACGAAAGUUAGAGGUUCGAAGGCGAUCAGAUACCGCCCUAGUUCUAACCAUAAACGAUGCUGACCAGCGAUCCGCCGGCGCUAUUCCCAUGGCCCGGCGGGCAGCUUCCGGGAAACCAAAGUCUUUGAGUUCCGGGGGAAGUAUGGUUGCAAAGCUGAAACUUAAAGGAAUUGACGGAAGGGCACCACCAGGAGUGGAGCCUGCGGCUUAAUUUGACUCAACACGGGAAACCUCACCAGGCCCAGACACCGGAAGGAUUGACAGAAUGAGAGCUCUUUCUCGAUUCGGUGGGUGGUGGUGCAUGGCCGUUCUUAGUUGGUGGAGUGAUUUGUCUGGUUAAUUCCGAUAACGAACGAGACUCUGGCCUAUUAACUAGUCGGCGGAUUUCCAAGCAUUGGUGUCCAGCCCGCAACUUCUUCUUAGAGGGAUAAGCGGCAUACAUAGCCGCACGAGAUUGAGCAAUAACAGGUCUGUGAUGCCCUUAGAUGUUCUGGGCAGCACGCGCGCUACACUGAAGGGAUCAGCGUGUUUUCCCCCUCCGAGAGGAGCGGGCAACCCGAUGAAACCCCUUCGUGCUAGGGAUUGGGGCUUGCAAUUGUUUCCCAUGAACGAGGAAUUCCCAGUAAGCGCAAGUCAUCAGCUUGCGUUGAUUACGUCCCUGCCCUUUGUACACACCGCCCGUCGCUACUACCGAUUGAAUGAUUUAGUGAGGACUUCGGACUGGCGCUCUUGGAUGCGUGGGUGUGUGGAGUAGCAGCAGGCGUCGGCUCUAGUUAGUCGAUCUUGUCUGUCUCUCUCGCCCUGCUCUUCGAGCUGACGGAAAGAUGUCCAAACUUGAUCAUUUAGAGGAAGUAAAAGUCGUAACAAGGUUUCCGUAGGUGAACCUGCGGAAGGAUCA